UGUGUCGCGAGACUUUGGGGAGCCGGUCCCGCGCGGAGUCUCCGGCGUUACCGCGAGGUUUCCCCUCCCCCCGCUCCAGCCCGGCUCUUCUCGGGAGGAGAGCGGCGGCGAAUUCUCGCGAGAUCACGCUCCCCCCCUCAACACACCACUUGCGCCGCGUUGUCCUUUUGUUCGCCGCCCUCGCGAGAGCGCCCCGCGCGAGCGCGCGGCGAGACGCCUCUAGAAGGAGGCGGGCCCUGAGUCACGUGGGCGGGCGCCGCCGCCAUCUUGUCGCUCCCCCCUCGGCGGGCAGUGGCGCAGCGCGUAAUGGCGGCGCGGCGGGAGGAGGGGCUGCUGUGUCCAGAAUACAUCGGCCUCCUUGUCCCCAGUGCUGGCCCCGACACACCAACCUGCGGCUCUGCAGGCGUCAGAGCGUACCCUGUGCUUACUACCCAGCGGCACGUGGCUGUGAGCCCCUCAUCCCAGGGUGGUGGGUUCCACUAGGCAUUACACAUACUCAUCAUCUCUUUCUCCAAGACCCUUAGCCAUCAAACAUACUGAUAUGCCAGAGGACUACCCUUAUUUUCCAUAUAGUGUCAGUUCUGUCAUCUAUCUCGACACUCACAUAUAGUCCCACCUUGAAUUCAUCAGAACUUUGAGCCUGUAAGCAUCGGUCAAAUAGUAAGCACUAAACUGCCUGUCAUUAGAAAAUAGAGAAAUAACCCCAUUCCCUCCUAUCACAGCCUGCUGACACAGAGAAUAGUAAAGCUGCUUCCGUGAAUCUGGGCUCUUGCCUCUUCCAAGAAGAAAACCACAGGAAAGUGCAUUCUCCAGGAGGAUGAUUCACCAUGGGAGUUAAAAACAAGACAGAACUUUUCCACACUAUUCAUGCAUUAAACAGCCCAUCUUUGCCUAGGUUUUCCUUAAAAUUUGAGCUCUAGAACCAGUCUUCCCAUUGCAGAAAUUGAGCCCCACGAUUUUUACAUCCCCAAACAAGUCCUUGAAUGAGCAGCACAUGCCCCUCAGAGACAAACUACUCAAUUCUGUGAUACUCUGGUCUUAAACAUUAACCAGUCCUCUGCUUUCACCUUCCAUAAUACUUCUAUAGCCAGCUACAGCUCCAGAGUUAAAGAUUUAUGCUUGUAUUUCCUCCCCAGGUGUACCUAUUUAUAUAAUAUAAAAGCUCACAGGUUUCUUCAUUGAGGUUGCCUGACAGUUAAAAG
This is a non-coding RNA of Cyanistes caeruleus (blue tit), 1202 nucleotides long. Lineage: Eukaryota; Metazoa; Chordata; Aves; Passeriformes; Paridae. The record is from RefSeq and is a predicted model, not a curated record.